RNAcentral lists this ribosomal RNA (484 nucleotides) under uncultured bacterium. Its description in RNAcentral is "partial 16S ribosomal RNA". It matches the Rfam family "Bacterial small subunit ribosomal RNA", at positions 29 to 507 of the family's 1533-position model. The record is from RNAcentral.
AUUGAACGCUGGCGGCAUGCUUUACACAUGCAAGUCGAACGGCAGCGCGGGCUUCGGCCUGGCGGCGAGUGGCGAACGGGUGAGUAAUGCAUCGGAACGUGCCCAGUAGUGGGGGAUAGCCCGGCGAAAGCCGGAUUAAUACCGCAUACGACCUGAGGGUGAAAGCGGGGGACCGAAAGGCCUCGCGCUAUUGGAGCGGCCGAUGUCGGAUUAGCUAGUUGGUGGGGUAAAGGCUUACCAAGGCGACGAUCCGUAGCUGGUCUGAGAGGACGACCAGCCAAAACGGGACUGAGGCAACGGCCAGGCCCCUUAGGGAGGGCGCAGGUGGGAAUUUUUGGAAAAGGGGGCAACCCUGAUCCAGCCAUGCCGCGUGCGGGAAGAAGGCCUUCGGGUUGUAAACCGCUUUUGUUCGGGAAGAAAUCCUCUGGGCUAAUACCCCGGGGGGAUGACGGUACCGGAAGAAUAAGCACCGGCUAACUACGUG